AGGGAUGCAGGACAGGGGCAACCUUGGAGAUCCCUGUGGCUUUCCUUCAGCACGUCUCCUUCUCGAGGUCUCUCCUUGAGGACUGAGAGAGAAUUCACUUUCACGUACGUGAGUGCAAGGAAGACCCUCUUCAGAGUUUUCUCCUUUUCCUUGAUUGAUUUUGCCAGAAAACAGACGUCCCUUUAUAGAAGCCAGUCGAUCGCCCUAGAGUCAUCACCCUGCCUGCUGGCUGGGCAGGGUAACUCCUCAGGUCGCCACCCUCUCCAGCCUGCCUUGGGCUUGGAGAGUGAGGAGGAGAGCGAGGGACAUCUGCUGACCCUGAACAUCCGCCAUCCAUCAGACCAUAUCCUAGAGCAAAUGACCCUGGAAGGGGAGAAGUUUGGAAGUGACUGGGCUGGAGGACCAAGUCAGGAGAGGAGGCAGCUGCCACCCCAAGAAGGAGAGAGUUGUUUGCAAAGUUAGCCCUUGCAAUGCACCAAAUGUAAAUAUGGCUGCUUGGAGCUUUCCUCUAUUGGUCCUUACUGAAUACAGUCAAGUCACGAUCACUGGCCCUAGAGCAACGGUUAACAUGCAGGCCAGUGAUCAAUUCAUCUUUACCCACCAAAAUGAGACCCACAAUAGAGGCUUAGAAAAGUAUCUGUCAUUUUUUUAAAUCUUCAAGGAUGAUUUACUAAUGGCUACUUGAGACCUCACCCAUCUGUCUCCAAAUAGGAUGUCCCCCACGCAAACCCAAUUGUCUUCCCACAAGCCACAAACAUGUGCUAAAGGAGAAACUGAACCUUCUCUGGUUUGGAUUCAGUGAACUGUACCAGCCCCCCAUUUAUUCUUCUGCUAGGUCAUGUUAGUUAGCAGGUUGAGCCCUGUUCAUUUGAGGUCCUGGGGUUCUCUAGAACCAAGAACUUUCAACAGGUAAUGGCGUGUCUAAUGUGAAGUGCCUCCAAGCCCACCACUGUUAUCAUCUCUCCCCUUCCUAGUCGGGUUGUAACCAGUGACACUAACAUUCCAGUAAUACACAUCGUCCCACCAGGUUUCCCUGUUCUAUCCACUUUCCCGUCCUCAAUGAGAAUUUCCAGCUUCUCUUCCUUCUUGCCUAGACUCCCGUGCUAAAAGCAGCGUUACUUCCCUUCACGCUUCCAGUGAGUAUCUUGCAGGGUAUGUACACUGCAGCACAGCAUUCCCCUGAGCGCACACUUGUGUUACUGCAGGAGGGUUAUCGGUGGAGGCAGUGUGUGGGGAAGGAGGCAUCUAAUGUCACAUCCUCCACCCUCCCCGCGAGUUGCUGCUAGGUUUGUACUCAGCAUGAGUGUUUUUGAGUGGGUUCUAAAACAUGCUCAUAUCCCUAACUUAAAUUAGUCCUUUGUGUGAUGUUGCUCAACUUAGUAUGUAACACAGAGGUCAGCUCUACACAUCAAUUUGAAAAGUUAUGCCUUAGGAGUAAUGGAUAAAUAACAGGAGUUAAGAUCUUCAAAAAGCUAAGCAACAAGCAUGAUGACCAUAGAAUAGUCACAUGGAGCAUGCUCAGUAACACUGCUGAAGCCAGCUGCCCUCACUCUGUCCCCCACCUCCCAUCCCCACUAUCGGCAGGCACAGGUCAUCACUGGUUAUCUGGAAGCCAGGAAGAGACUCCUACUCAUGCGUCACAUUCUUCCCUCCAUUUAAAGGUGCCAUGGGAGAAAGACAACAUGUCCCAAUGCAGGGGCAGUAGGUUUGAAUAAUUUUUGGUGGUGCCCAGAACAGAUCCAAGUCCUGCCACACCCCCAGCCUUGUAAGUCAAUAUACAGUAACUCCUCACUUAAAGUCAUCCCGACUAACAUUGUUUUGUUGUUAAGGUGAUGAUCAAUGAGAGCAGUGGCUCUCAGACUUUUUUUUU
Mauremys reevesii (Reeves's turtle) is the source of this 1870-nucleotide long non-coding RNA. RefSeq lists it as uncharacterized. The transcript has 3 exons. The record is from RefSeq and is a predicted model, not a curated record. NCBI's taxonomy places the organism in Eukaryota, Metazoa, Chordata, Testudines, Geoemydidae.